Molecule: long non-coding RNA, 2108 nt
Organism: Vigna angularis (adzuki bean)
Lineage: Eukaryota; Viridiplantae; Streptophyta; Magnoliopsida; Fabales; Fabaceae
Exons: 2
Source: RefSeq, a predicted model, not a curated record
AUGAGAAAAUGGGGUGUCCAAAUCAUUUUUCCUUUUGUAAACAAACUGGGCCUAAACCCAAACUAAAAGGGGGUGUGGAAGUGAGAACAGGGGUGUCUAAACCAGGUUUAUUUCGAAUAACGGACUGGGCCCAAGCCCUAACGGAAAAGGGUGUGAAUGGGAAGUGGGAUUGCGAACGGGAGAUGGACGCGUGCAAAGGGAAGAUAGAGUUUUUUUUGUUUCAAAAAAAGGAUCUGGCCCAAGAACCGGGGCCCAAGGGUUUGGGUUAUUUCCCUCACUCAGGAGCAUUAGGGGUUUCCCACCUCCGCCCCAUUCGUGUUAAACGAGACCAAAGUCUCCUUUUCCCUCCACUUGAAUCCAAAGGGAGCUGAGCUCCUCCACGCACGCCCAAGCCUCCACCCGACCGGCAGCCGCGAGCCACGGUCCGUGACGACGUUCGUUGUUGGAGCCGUCGCCGAUCGAGGCGAAAGCUCACCUCUUCCGCUGCUCGUCGCGCGCGAGCUGGACACGCCCUCGCCGCCGCCAACGACGCCCAUUUCCAGCUCCAUCGCUCACUGCCGGGAUCAUCGCCGUCCACAACGUCAGACCCUCUUUUCCUUCUCUUCUUCCCGCAUUAGAGAAGUUCUCACGCUUCUCCGUCAAUCGCCGCUUGAGCGAUCCCGGUUGCCUCGAACCAGGGCACCGCCAGCGCCGCGAGUCACGACCAAGGUCGUCGCCGGUCACCGCCUUGACGUCCUCCACCGCCACGACCAAAUCCAUCUCUACCCCUAAAACCGUCACCAUCGCAGCCACUCCUGAAACUACCACCGCGCCUACCACCUCUAGGGGUCCCAUUGUUUAGUUACCAGAGAAUACAGUGCCGAGGCCAUGUUUGAGGGUUAACCCCUUCGUUGGCGGCUUGAGGUGAACAGAGGAAGGGGACUUAGUUCCGUUAUCAGACUGGGUUUGUCAUUGCUGUAAUGGAUUCGGGGUGGGUGUUUGGAUUAAUUCUUUUUCUUGCAGGAAAACGGCAUUGGAGAUUUCGGUAUUACAAGUCGGGUUGACGAUGAUAAUGGAGUUGUGUACGAGGAAUAUCAGUUUGCAGGUUUGGGUUCUGCAAAGAGAGCACUGGUCUCUAAUUGUUGAAGGUCGUGAGGCGUUGACAGAGAAUGGAGGAAUCAGCUGAAGCAAAUUUGGGUUUCUGUUUGUUGGGAUGAAUGAAUAACAAACAAUGUGCAGAAGCAAAUCAUGUAUACUCAAUAUAAUUGCAAGUUCAAUACGAGCAGACAAAGGCAGGCGUUAUCAAGUCAAAACAGAAGCAGAAACCCAAUUAAGAGUAGAUUGUAAUCAUCUAACAUUCAUAACUUUUGCGAGCGAUGAAGCGAAGGAGAACUUACCUUCUAUGUUUGCGUUUUUCUCUCUUAAUGGUGUGGGUUGAGGGAAUAGUGGGUUCCUGUGAUGUGCGUGAUGAGGAAAUAGAGAAGAGGGUGAGAGGUGAAUGAUGGAUGUAAUGGAGGAGAAAGUGGGUUCAUCAGAAGUUCACAUAUAUGCUUCUCUGUGUUGAGGCCUUGGCAAUGGUUAUUGGAAUGCAAGAUGAAUUUGUUCAACGAAUGGCCAGGGGUUUUUCUUUCAGCUUCUUUGGGAAGACGGAGAUAUGAAGAGAAACUCAUCCGUUUUGUCUGUGCCCAGUGGUUCUUGAUGGUUCCCACAUGAAUAGUAUGUGAAGGGUGAGUACCAAUAUUGCUCCCAGGAUCAUUCUUUUUUUUGAUUGAUUUUUCUUUUUUUGUCUUUUUCCUUGCGUGAGGACUUCAGCCUCCCGACACUCCAUUGCUUCAUGCCACCCUAUUGCCAGCAUUUCUUCUUACUGCAACUGGCUAAAGCUAUUGCUUCUUGCUGCAGCAUAGGUCUGAGCCAAAGAUUUUCACCAAAAAAUGAUAGAUGCGCAAAGAUUUAAGACCAAAAAAAAAAAGAAAAAAGUUGAUAGCAUUGAAAACAGAAAUGAACGUUAAGUGCAAUCUGGUGAUCACUUUUUUUGUUUGUUUGUUUUCCUUUAAAAGAGACUAAAUAAAAUACAAUAAAAUAAACUAAUAUUAAAUAAAUUCAGAAUAAUAACAUAAAAUGAAAUAAAA